RNAcentral lists this ribosomal RNA (913 nucleotides) under uncultured Nitrososphaerota archaeon. RNAcentral describes it as "bacterial SSU rRNA". It matches the Rfam family "Archaeal small subunit ribosomal RNA", at positions 1 to 922 of the family's 1478-position model. Lineage: Archaea; Thermoproteati; Nitrososphaerota. The record is from RNAcentral.
UCCGGUUGAUCCUGCCGGACCUGACUGCUAUCGGAUUGAUACUAAGCCAUGCGAGUCAUUGUAGCAAUACAAGGCAGACGGCUCAGUAACGCGUAGUCAACCUACCCUAUGGACGGGAAUAACCUCGGGAAACUGAGAAUAAUGCCCGAUAGAACAUUAUGCCUGGAAUGGUUUAUGUUCCAAAUGAUUUAUCGCCGUAGGAUGGGACUGCGGCCUAUCAGUUUGUUGGUGAGGUAAUGGCCCACCAAGACUAUUACAGGUACGGGCUCUGAGAGGAGUGGCCCGGAGAUGGGUACUGAGACACGGACCCAGGCCCUAUGGGGCGCAGCAGGCGAGAAAACUUUGCAAUGUGCGAAAGCACGACAAGGUUAAUCCGAGUGGUUUCUGCUAAAGGAACCUUUUGACAGUCCUAGAAACACUGUUGAAUAAGGGGUGGGCAAGUUCUGGUGUCAGCCGCCGCGGUAAAACCAGCACCUCAAGUGGUCAGGAUGAUUAUUGGGCCUAAAGCAUCCGUAGCCGGCUCUGUAAGUUUUCGGUUAAAUCUAUACGCUCAACGUAUAGGCUGCCGGGAAUACUGCAGAGCUAGGGAGUGGGAGAGGUAGACGGUACUCGGUAGGAAGGGGUAAAAUCCUUUGAUCUAUUGAUGACCACCUGUGGCGAAGGCGGUCUACCAGAACACGUCCGACGGUGAGGGAUGAAAGCUGGGGGAGCAAACCGGAUUAGAUACCCGGGUAGUCCCAGCUGUAAACUAUGCAAACUCAGUGAUGCAUUGGCUUGUGGCCAAUGCAGUGCUGCAGGGAAGCCGUUAAGUUUGCCGCCUGGGAAGUACGUACGCAAGUAUGAAACUUAAAGGAAUUGGCGGGGGAGCACCACAAGGGGUGAAGCCUGCGGUUCAAUUGGAUUCAACGCCGGA